GAUGAACGCUGGCGGCGUGCCUAAUACAUGCAAGUCGAGCGAACAGACGAGGAGCUUGCUCCUUCGACGUUAGCGGCGGACGGGUGAGUAACACGUAGGUAACCUACCUAUAAGACUGGGAUAACUUCGGGAAACCGGAGCUAAUACCGGAUAAUAUUUCGAACCGCAUGGUUCGAUAGUGAAAGAUGGCUUUGCUAUCACUUAUAGAUGGACCUGCGCCGUAUUAGCUAGUUGGUAAGGUAACGGCUUACCAAGGCAACGAUACGUAGCCGACCUGAGAGGGUGAUCGGCCACACUGGAACUGAGACACGGUCCAGACUCCUACGGGAGGCAGCAGUAGGGAAUCCUCCGCAAUGGGCGAAAGCCUGACGGAGCAACGCCGCGUGAGUGAUGAAGGUCUUCGGAUCGUAAAACUCUGUUAUUAGGGAAGAACAGACGUGUAAGUAACUGUGCACGUCUUGACGGUACCUAAUCAGAAAGCCACGGCUAACUACGUG
This 497-nucleotide ribosomal RNA is filed under the name uncultured bacterium. RNAcentral describes it as "partial 16S ribosomal RNA". It matches the Rfam family "Bacterial small subunit ribosomal RNA", at positions 28 to 507 of the family's 1533-position model. The record is from RNAcentral.